CAUCACAAUAUAGAAAUUCUUUAGAAGAUAUAACCUUGUGAUGAAAAAGGUCAAAUAAUUUUUAUUAUUUAUCUAUUCAUAUAUAUUUAUAAUUAGCAUAAUUAUCAAACGAUUGACUUUAGGAUAUUUUCCAAUAUACCUUAGUGGAAAUUUCAGAAUUAUCUCUUGCAAAUGGCAUAGUCUCAUAUUGAACUCCUCCAGAUACUAAUUGAGUAUGGGUAUAGGAGGAAUUGAACUCUAUUAGAUAUAGUCUGGUCCAUUAUGAAGUUCACUCAGUCUCUAACCCUUAUUUCCUUAAGGACAUACUUUAAUCUAUUGAAUGGGGUUGUCAGCCUAUGUCGAAAGACAACAAGCAGAUAAGUUAAAAGCUAGGUCUAUAAAGGCUCGCUUAAUAAGAUAUCCUAAAGAGUUAUCAAGAUACUAAUUUUACUUUCCAAUGGAUGACAAUAUGAUUGUGAACCAUCAUACUAUAUUUUUAGAAAAUAGUUUAUCCAAGAUGGUGUAGUGGAAAGAAAUUGAGCUUGAAGAGAGUCUCUGAAAAGCAAUGAGCUGAAGAUCUAGUUGAACCCAUUCAAUCUGAGCCAGUUAGUAUCAAACCUCAUCCACC
Molecule: long non-coding RNA, 607 nt
Filed under: Elaeis guineensis (African oil palm)
Lineage: Eukaryota; Viridiplantae; Streptophyta; Magnoliopsida; Arecales; Arecaceae
Description: long non-coding RNA (EGUI_LNC060498)
Source: RNAcentral